RNAcentral lists this ribosomal RNA (468 nucleotides) under uncultured bacterium. Its description in RNAcentral is "partial 16S ribosomal RNA". It matches the Rfam family "Bacterial small subunit ribosomal RNA", at positions 28 to 507 of the family's 1533-position model. The record is from RNAcentral.
GAUGAACGCUGGCGGCGUGCUUAACACAUGCAAGUCGAACGGAAAGGCCGAAGCUUGCUUCGGUACUCGAGUGGCGAACGGGUGAGUAACACGUGGGUGAUCUGCCCUGUACUUCGGGAUAAGCUUGGGAAACUGGGUCUAAUACCGGAUAUGACGAUCUCUUGGAUGGGGUUGUGGAAAGCUUUUGCGGUAUGGGAUGAGCUCGCGGCCUAUCAGCUUGUUGGUGGGGUGAUGGCCUACCAAGGCGUCGACGGGUAGCCGGCCUGAGAGGGUGUACGGCCACAUUGGGGCUGAGAUACGGCGCAGACUCCUACGGGGGGCAGCAGUGGGGAAUAUUGCACAAUGGGCGCAAGCCUGAUGCAGCGACGCCGCGUGGGGGAUGACGGCCUUCGGGUUGUAAACUCCUUUCGCAAUCGACGAAGCCUUUUGGUGACGGUAGGUUGAGAAGAAGCACCGGCUAACUACGUG